This 497-nucleotide ribosomal RNA is filed under the name uncultured bacterium. Its description in RNAcentral is "partial 16S ribosomal RNA". It matches the Rfam family "Bacterial small subunit ribosomal RNA", at positions 28 to 507 of the family's 1533-position model. The record is from RNAcentral.
GAUGAACGCUGGCGGCGUGCCUAAUACAUGCAAGUCGAGCGAACAGACGAGGAGCUUGCUCCUCUGACGUUAGCGGCGGACGGGUGAGUAACACGUGGAUAACCUACCUAAAAGACUGGGAUAACUUCGGGAAACCGGAGCUAAUACCGGAUAAUAUAUUGAACCGCAUGGUUCAAUAGUUAAAGACGGUUUUGCUGUCACUUAUAGAUGGUUCCGCGCCGCAUUAGCUAGUUGGUAAGGUAACGGCUUACCAAGGCAACGAUGCGUAGCCGACCUGAGAGGGUGAUCGGCCACACGGGAACUGAGACACGGUCCAGACUCCUACGGGAGGCAGCAGUAGGGAAUCUUCCGCAAUGGGCGAAAGCCUGACGGAGCAACGCCGCGUGAGUGAUGAAGGUCUUCGGAUCGUAAAACUCUGUUAUUAGGGAAGAACAAAUGUGUAAGUAACUAUGCACGUCUUGACGGUACCUAAUCAGAAAGCCACGGCUAACUACGUG